GACGAACGCUGGCGGCGUGCUUAACACAUGCAAGUCGAACGGUAAGGCCCUUCGGGGUACACGAGUGGCGAACGGGUGAGUAACACGUGGGUGAUCUGCCCUGCACUUCGGGAUAAGCCUGGGAAACUGGGUCUAAUGCCGGAUAGGACCCUGGGAUGCAUGUCCUGGGGUGGAAAGCUUUUGCGGUGUGGGAUGGGCCCGCGGCCUAUCAGCUUGUUGGUGGGGUGAUGGCCUACCAAGGCGACGACGGGUAGCCGGCCUGAGAGGGUGACCGGCCACACUGGGACUGAGAUACGGCCCAGACUCCUACGGGAGGCAGCAGUGGGGAAUAUUGCACAAUGGGCGCAAGCCUGAUGCAGCGACGCCGCGUGAGGGAUGACGGCCUUCGGGUUGUAAACCUCUUUCAGCACCGACGGAGCGCAAGUGACGGUAGGUGCAGAAGAAGGACCGGCCAACUACGUGCCAGCCGCCGCAGUAA
RNAcentral lists this ribosomal RNA (478 nucleotides) under uncultured bacterium. RNAcentral describes it as "partial 16S ribosomal RNA". It matches the Rfam family "Bacterial small subunit ribosomal RNA", at positions 28 to 523 of the family's 1533-position model. The record is from RNAcentral.